RNAcentral lists this ribosomal RNA (491 nucleotides) under Cladosporium cladosporioides. RNAcentral describes it as "eukaryotic LSU rRNA". It matches the Rfam family "Eukaryotic large subunit ribosomal RNA", at positions 96 to 509 of the family's 3401-position model. The record is from RNAcentral. Lineage: Eukaryota; Fungi; Ascomycota; Dothideomycetes; Cladosporiales; Cladosporiaceae.
AAGCAGCAAUAGCUCAAAUUUGAAAUCUGGCGUCUUCGACGUCCGAGUUGUAAUUUGUAGAGGAUGCUUCUGAGUGGCCACCGACCUAAGUUCCUUGGAACAGGACGUCAUAGAGGGUGAGAAUCCCGUAUGCGGUCGGAAAGGCGCUCUAUACGUAGCUCCUUCGACGAGUCGAGUUGUUUGGGAAUGCAGCUCUAAAUGGGAGGUAAAUUUCUCUAAAGCUAAAUAUUGGCCAGAGACCGAUAGCGCACAAGUAGAGUGAUCGAAAGAUGAAAAGCACUUUGGAAAGAGAGUUAAAAAGCACGUGAAAUUGUUAAAAGGGAAGGGAUUGCAACCAGACUUGCUCGCGGUGUUCCGCCGGUCUUCUGACCGGUCUACUCGCCGCGUUGCAGGCCAGCAUCGUCUGGUGCCGCUGGAUAAGACUUGAGGAAUGUAGCUCCCUCGGGAGUGUUAUAGCCUCUUGUGAUGCAGCGAGCGCCGGGCGAGGUCCG